UGUGUUACCAUAUGAUCCAACAUUUUGUAUUUCUCAUGGAAGGAUAUGCUUGUGGUCCGGAAGGGUUUGGUUCACGGGGUUUGACCGUCAAAUCAAAGGUUCAUGCAGUCAUCGAGAGUUGCUGGGAAGAAGAUGGGUACUGAUUUACACAACGAUCGGUUCGAUCCAAAUUUCUGAGCUCAUACCAAAAUAUUUCUUUUACAACUUGCGUCGUGUAUAUUGGGACUCGAUUGUGAUCUAUAUCAGGUGAGUAAAUCAUGCUCGGUACUAUAAUUAUGUUGUAAAUUAAUGAAAGAUGACGAUGUUUUAAUUAUCGAGGUUA
Long non-coding RNA from Hordeum vulgare subsp. vulgare (domesticated barley), 322 nucleotides. RefSeq lists it as uncharacterized. The transcript has 2 exons. Lineage: Eukaryota; Viridiplantae; Streptophyta; Magnoliopsida; Poales; Poaceae. The record is from RefSeq and is a predicted model, not a curated record.